AGGCACAAUUACAAUGUCAUCACAAGGUCAAACUUUAAGAACCAGAGUAAUUCUUAAUCAUCCUGAUUUGUCAAAAGACUAUACAUGUAAAGAACAGUCUGGAGGUGGAAACUGAUAGAUCAUUUGAAGAGGAUCCUGUUUAAGCAGUCAUAAAUAUGUUUCACAAAACAAUGAACACCUUGUUACAGCAUAUCUUGAACAGCCUAGCACAGAGAACUGUCUGGAGGUGGAAACUGGUGGAUCACUUGAAAAGGAAAC
Molecule: long non-coding RNA, 258 nt
Organism: Saccostrea cuccullata (small rock oyster)
Lineage: Eukaryota; Metazoa; Mollusca; Bivalvia; Ostreida; Ostreidae
Exons: 3
Source: RefSeq, a predicted model, not a curated record